RNAcentral lists this unclassified non-coding RNA (381 nucleotides) under uncultured fungus. RNAcentral describes it as "sequence contains ITS1". The stretch from base 1 to 105 matches the Rfam family "5.8S ribosomal RNA", at positions 50 to 154 of the family's 154-position model. The record is from RNAcentral. Lineage: Eukaryota; Fungi.
AAACUGCGAUACGUAGUGUGAAUUGCAGAAUUCAGUGAAUCAUCGAAUCUUUGAACGCAAAUUGCGCUGCUGGGUAUUCCCGGCAGCAUGCUUGGCUGAGUAUCAUCUGGACAAAUCGGCAAGUCGCCUUUUGUAGGAGACUUUUUGCCGGAAAUGAGGUUGUCGCACAUUUUGAUAAAAAGUGUGGGUCCCUUCAAGUCUAGUAAGGUUAGCAUGUGUGCUAAUAUUAGCGUAUCAUGUUUAGCCGCCAGUGUGUCAAACUGUUUGCUUCUCUAAAGGGGUUGCACAACAUUAGCACUGAUUUUGCGGCAAAAACUAAUUAUAACGUAUUUUAUCAAAAACUUUGAUCUCAGCUCAAGCAAGACUACCCGCUGAAUUUAA